RNAcentral lists this ribosomal RNA (469 nucleotides) under uncultured bacterium. Its description in RNAcentral is "partial 16S ribosomal RNA". It matches the Rfam family "Bacterial small subunit ribosomal RNA", at positions 28 to 507 of the family's 1533-position model. The record is from RNAcentral.
GACGAACGCUGGCGGCGUGCUUAACACAUGCAAGUCGAACGGAAAGGCCCUGCUUGCAGGGUGCUCGAGUGGCGAACGGGUGAGUAACACGUGGGUGAUCUGCCCCUUACUUUGGGAUAAGCCUGGGAAACUGGGUCUAAUACUGGAUAGGACCAUGCUGUAGGUGGUGUGGUGGAAAGAUUAGUUUCGGUAAGGGAUGAGCUCGCGGCCUAUCAGCUGGUUGGUGGGGUAAUGGCCUACCAAGGCGUCGACGGGUAGCCGGCCGGAGAGGGUGGACGGCCACAUUGGGACUGCGAUACGGCCCAGACUCCUACGGGAGGCAGCAGUGGGGAAUAUUGUACAAUGGGCGCAAGCCUGAUGCAGCGACGCCGCGGGGGGGAUGACGGCCUUCGGGUUGUAAACUCCUUUCAGCCAUGACGAAGCCCUUGUGGUGACGGUAGUGGUAGAAGAAGCACCGGCUAACUACGUG